RNAcentral lists this long non-coding RNA (6097 nucleotides) under Solanum tuberosum (potato). RNAcentral describes it as "long non-coding RNA (STUB_LNC009399)". Lineage: Eukaryota; Viridiplantae; Streptophyta; Magnoliopsida; Solanales; Solanaceae. The record is from RNAcentral.
UUACUACUUAUCAAUCUGUUGAGGCUGUUAAUCCCACAGUUGUAGCAACCAACAUUGAUGUAGGCCAGACCAUAAAAUUCCCAAUUUUUUGCAAGUGUCCAAACACGACACAAAAUCAACCAAGACUACUCAUAAGUUAUGUUUUUCAACCUAAUGAUAACAUUUCUUCUAUCGCAUCAAGAUUCGGGAUAACCCCACAAUCCAUAACACAAAUUAAUGGAAAUAAUACCAAGAUUCUUGAUACCCUUUUCAUCCCUCUUUCUAAUCUACCUAAUCUUACACAGCCAGCAUCUUCAAACACCCCACCCCCACCCCCAGCACCAGCACCAGUAAUUCAAGAAAAUGACAGAAAAGAGACUGUCAUAGGGUUAGCAAUUGGUUUAGGGGUUUGUGGGUUGCUGUUGAUUUUGAUUCUUGGUUUGUUUUACAAGGAGAAAACAGUAAAGAAAGAAAAGUAUGGUGAUGUAGAAAGGCAAAAAAGUUUGUAUCUUGGAUCAAAAAAGAAGUCUUUUGUUGAUAAAGAUGUUGAAGUGAAUUUGUUGGCUGAUUUAUCAGAGUGUUUGGAUAAGUAUAAAAUGUAUAAAAUGGUACAACUUUGGGAAGCAACAAAUGGAUUUGAUGAAGGGUGUUUGAUUCAAGGGUCUGUGUUUAAAGGAACAAUUGAUGAAGAAGUGUUUGCAAUCAAAAAAAUGAAAUGGAAUGCCCGCGAAGAACUCAAAAUCCUGCAAAAGGUAAAAAAAAAAACGUUACGUAAAAUUCUGCAUAUAUACGUAUCCACUGCAGAAUUGCUUUUGUGUACUACUAGUAAAAAUCAUUUUAUUAAGGAUAACAUGAACACUUUAAAGUUAAAUUGUUACUGGAUAGAAUAUAUGUCAUUCUUUUCACCUUUUUUUGUUUGUGUAGGUGAACCAUGGGAAUUUGGUGAAGCUAGAGGGUUUUUGCAUAGACCCUAAAGAAGCAAAUUGCUACUUAGUCUAUGAGUAUGUUGAAAAUGGUUCACUACAUUCUUGGCUUCACGGUGAAAAACCUGAAAAAUUGAGCUGGAAAACAAGACUAAGGAUUGCCACUGAUGUUGCAAAUGGUCUCUUAUACAUUCAUGAACAUACAAGGCCAAGAGUUGUCCACAAAGACAUCAAGAGUAGCAACAUUCUCCUAGACUCCAACAUGAGAGCCAAAGUUGCCAAUUUUGGUCUAGCUAAAUCAGGGUGCAAUGCUAUAACAAUGCACAUUGUAGGUACUCAGGGGUACAUCUCCCCUGAGUACCUCACUGAUGGGGUUGUAUCCACUAAAAUGGAUGUUUUCUCAUUCGGGGUUGUGUUGCUCGAGCUUGUGUCAGGGAAGGAGGCUAUCGAUGAUGAAGGGAAAGUCUUGUGGGCAAAAAUUAGCGAUUUUUCUGAAGGGAGUGAAGAGAGGAAGGUGAGGAAAUUGCAAGAAUGGAUGGAUGAAAGUCUAUUGAGGGAAGAAUUAACAAUGGAAAGUGUUGUGAAUGUGAUGACUGUGGCUAUUUCAUGUUUGAAUAAAGAUCCUUCAAGAAGGCCAGGGAUGAUUGAAAUUGUGUAUGCCUUAUCUAAAAGUAUUGAUCUAUUUUCUGAUGUUUCAGAGGAAGGACCAUCUCCAAGGCAAGUCACAGCAAGAUAGACUACAUAAUAGUACUUGCAUAUUAUGUAAAGUUGUUUUGAAGUGGAGUAGCAUUUUGUGUUUUGAGGUUUGUACUUUACUUUAAAGUUUGCUUCUAUAUAAGUGUAAUAUUACUCCUAUAUUAUCUUUUCUAGUAGUAGUGGUAAAUCCAAUUUCGAAUAAGAGCAUGUUUAAGGUUGUUCUAGUGGAAUAUAUAUUAGUACCACAUAAGACACUUGUAAUGAAUUUAUCUUUAUGUUAUGUUGCUUGGAUUCUUCAAAAAUGAUCUUGCACUUGUGUCAAUUCUUUAAAAUUGCAUGUAUUAGUUAUGCGGUUUUCUAAAUUACCUCCUAAAUCAGCUAUCAAACAUGGUAUUACGUAACUUAACCUGCAUAACUCAACUCCAAACCAACUACCAAACGACCCUGAAUGAAAAGUAUUUCCCCUAACUCUUGCAAUAGUUUAAUAUACCUUGGAAAAAGACGUAUCUCAGAAAUAGCUAGUCCAAACAUGUGAAAACAUUCUGGAGAAAAACAACAAAUAUAAACACGAGUAUUUUCUACAAUAUGGUUGACCAAAAACUCUUCUAGGUGGGACCAUCAAAUUGAAAAAAAACCCAUCUUCCUUUAAUGUUAAAGACAAUACCAUAUGAGAAAUUAAACAACAACAACCAAUCAAAUAAUGCAAAAAAUCCCCAUCACUCAUUAAAUGGUCAAAAACCAAGACUAUGACAAAAAACAAGAACUUUGGUAUAUAAACCUCUUAUAACUCCAUCAUAUUAUAUACACACACAUCUCUCCUUCAACCAAAACCAAGAAAAUGAUAACAAGACCAAUAUUUGUUUUUUCACUUCUCUUAUUCUUAUCAUUCAUAUUCAACCAAAACAUAAUAUGUUAUGCACAAGAGCCACCAAGCAUCACAGGAUAUACUUGUAAUCCUAACCAAUUCAAUCCAUGUCAAACUUAUGUGUUAUACAGAGCUAGAGGACCAGACUUUCUUGAUUUAGCCUCAAUUGGUGAUCUUUUUUCAGUAAGUAGACUAAUGAUAGCAAACCCUAGUAAUAUUUCCAACCCAAACACAACUCUUGUUAAUGAUCAACCCCUUUUUAUCCCCAUCACAUGUUCUUGUAACAACAUCAACACAACAUAUGGUAGCAUAUCUUAUGCUGGCUUUAACUACACUUUCAAAUCAGGUGACACUAUGUAUGGUAUAUCAACAUCUAAAUACCAAAAUCUUACUACUUAUCAAUCUGUUGAGGCUGUUAAUCCCACAGUUGUAGCAACCAACAUUGAUGUAGGCCAGACCAUAAAAUUCCCAAUUUUUUGCAAGUGUCCAAACACGACACAAAAUCAACCAAGACUACUCAUAAGUUAUGUUUUUCAACCUAAUGAUAACAUUUCUUCUGUCGCCUCAAGAUUCAGGGUAACCCCACAAUCUAUAACACAAAUUAAUGGAAAUAACACCAAGAUUCUUGAUACCCUUUUCAUCCCUCUUUCUAAUCUACCUAAUCUUACACAGCCAGCAUCUUCAAACACCCCACCCCCACCCCCAGCACCAGCACCAGUAAUUCAAGAAAAUGACAGAAAAGAGACUGUCAUAGGGUUAGCAAUUGGUUUAGGGGUUUGUGGGUUGCUGUUGAUUUUGAUUCUUGGUUUGUUUUACAAGGAGAAAACAGUAAAGAAAGAAAAGUAUGGUGAUGUAGAAAGGCAAAAAAGUUUGUAUCUUGGAUCAAAAAAGAAGUCUUUUGUUGAUAAAGAUGUUGAAGUGAAUUUGUUGGCUGAUUUAUCAGAGUGUUUGGAUAAGUAUAAAAUGUAUAAAAUGGUACAACUUUGGGAAGCAACAAAUGGAUUUGAUGAAGGGUGUUUGAUUCAAGGGUCUGUGUUUAAAGGAACAAUUGAUGAAGAAGUGUUUGCAAUCAAAAAAAUGAAAUGGAAUGCCCGCGAAGAACUCAAAAUCCUGCAAAAGGUAAAAAAAAAAACGUUACGUAAAAUUCUGCAUAUAUACGUAUCCACUGCAGAAUUGCUUUUGUGUACUACUAGUAAAAAUCAUUUUAUUAAGGAUAACAUGAACACUUUAAAGUUAAAUUGUUACUGGAUAGAAUAUAUGUCAUUCUUUUCACCUUUUUUUGUUUGUGUAGGUGAACCAUGGGAAUUUGGUGAAGCUAGAGGGUUUUUGCAUAGACCCUAAAGAAGCAAAUUGCUACUUAGUCUAUGAGUAUGUUGAAAAUGGUUCACUACAUUCUUGGCUUCACGGUGAAAAACCUGAAAAAUUGAGCUGGAAAACAAGACUAAGGAUUGCCACUGAUGUUGCAAAUGGUCUCUUAUACAUUCAUGAACAUACAAGGCCAAGAGUUGUCCACAAAGACAUCAAGAGUAGCAACAUUCUCCUAGACUCCAACAUGAGAGCCAAAGUUGCCAAUUUUGGUCUAGCUAAAUCAGGGUGCAAUGCUAUAACAAUGCACAUUGUAGGUACUCAGGGGUACAUCUCCCCUGAGUACCUCACUGAUGGGGUUGUAUCCACUAAAAUGGAUGUUUUCUCAUUCGGGGUUGUGUUGCUCGAGCUUGUGUCAGGGAAGGAGGCUAUCGAUGAUGAAGGGAAAGUCUUGUGGGCAAAAAUUAGCGAUUUUUCUGAAGGGAGUGAAGAGAGGAAGGUGAGGAAAUUGCAAGAAUGGAUGGAUGAAAGUCUAUUGAGGGAAGAAUUAACAAUGGAAAGUGUUGUGAAUGUGAUGACUGUGGCUAUUUCAUGUUUGAAUAAAGAUCCUUCAAGAAGGCCAGGGAUGAUUGAAAUUGUGUAUGCCUUAUCUAAAAGUAUUGAUCUAUUUUCUGAUGUUUCAGAGGAAGGACCAUCUCCAAGGCAAGUCACAGCAAGAUAGACUACAUAAUAGUACUUGCAUAUUAUGUAAAGUUGUUUUGAAGUGGAGUAGCAUUUUGUGUUUUGAGGUUUGUACUUUACUUUAAAGUUUGCUUCUAUAUAAGUGUAAUAUUACUCCUAUAUUAUCUUUUCUAGUAGUAGUGGUAAAUCCAAUUUCGAAUAAGAGCAUGUUUAAGGUUGUUCUAGUGGAAUAUAUAUUAGUACCACAUAAGACACUUGUAAUGAAUUUAUCUUUAUGUUAUGUUGCUUGGAUUCUUCAAAAAUGAUCUUGCACUUGUGUCAAUUCUUUAAAAUUGCAUGUAUUAGUUAUGCGGUUUUCUAAAUUACCUCCUAAAUCAGCUAUCAAACAUGGUAUUACGUAACUUAACCUGCAUAACUCAACUCCAAACCAACUACCAAACGACCCUGAAUGAAAAGUAUUUCCCCUAACUCUUGCAAUAGUUUAAUAUACCUUGGAAAAAGACGUAUCUCAGAAAUAGCUAGUCCAAACAUGUGAAAACAUUCUGGAGAAAAACAACAAAUAUAAACACGAGUAUUUUCUACAAUAUGGUUGACCAAAAACUCUUCUAGGUGGGACCAUCAAAUUGAAAAAAAACCCAUCUUCCUUUAAUGUUAAAGACAAUACCAUAUGAGAAAUUAAACAACAACAACCAAUCAAAUAAUGCAAAAAAUCCCCAUCACUCAUUAAAUGGUCAAAAACCAAGACUAUGACAAAAAACAAGAACUUUGGUAUAUAAACCUCUUAUAACUCCAUCAUAUUAUAUACACACACAUCUCUCCUUCAACCAAAACCAAGAAAAUGAUAACAAGACCAAUAUUUGUUUUUUCACUUCUCUUAUUCUUAUCAUUCAUAUUCAACCAAAACAUAAUAUGUUAUGCACAAGAGCCACCAAGCAUCACAGGAUAUACUUGUAAUCCUAACCAAUUCAAUCCAUGUCAAACUUAUGUGUUAUACAGAGCUAGAGGACCAGACUUUCUUGAUUUAGCCUCAAUUGGUGAUCUUUUUUCAGUAAGUAGACUAAUGAUAGCAAACCCUAGUAAUAUUUCCAACCCAAACACAACUCUUGUUAAUGAUCAACCCCUUUUUAUCCCCAUCACAUGUUCUUGUAACAACAUCAACACAACAUAUGGUAGCAUAUCUUAUGCUGGCUUUAACUACACUUUCAAAUCAGGUGACACUAUGUAUGGUAUAUCAACAUCUAAAUACCAAAAUCUUACUACUUAUCAAUCUGUUGAGGCUGUUAAUCCCACAGUUGUAGCAACCAACAUUGAUGUAGGCCAGACCAUAAAAUUCCCAAUUUUUUGCAAGUGUCCAAACACGACACAAAAUCAACCAAGACUACUCAUAAGUUAUGUUUUUCAACCUAAUGAUAACAUUUCUUCUGUCGCCUCAAGAUUCAGGGUAACCCCACAAUCUAUAACACAAAUUAAUGGAAAUAACACCAAGAUUCUUGAUACCCUUUUCAUCCCUCUUUCUAAUCUACCUAAUCUUACACAGCCAGCAUCUUCAAACACCCCACCCCCACCCCCAGCACCAGCACCAGUAAUUCAAGAAAAUGACAGAAAAGAGACUGUCAUAGGGUUAGCAAUUGGUUUAGGGGUUUGUGGG